RNAcentral lists this small RNA (295 nucleotides) under Phaeoacremonium minimum UCRPA7. RNAcentral's name for it is "5' ureB small RNA". It matches the Rfam family "5' ureB small RNA". The record is from Rfam by way of RNAcentral. Lineage: Eukaryota; Fungi; Ascomycota; Sordariomycetes; Togniniales; Togniniaceae.
CUUCAUACGCCUGCUGUGGGCAGAUGAAGUGGAUGUGCGUGUCGAUACCACCAGCAGUUAUGAUCUUUCCUUCGCCGGCCACAACAUCGGUGCAGCUGCCGACUAUCAUCCCGGGAGUAACGCCGUCCAUAACGUCGGGGUUACCAGCCUUGCCGAUACCCACGAUCAUACCAUUCUUGACUCCGAUAUCUGCCUUGUAGAUACCAGUCCAGUCCACAAUCAGCGCGUUGGUGACAACCAUGUCCAGCGAAUCGGCAUCGGAGCAACCGCUCAUCUGUCCCAUGCCCUCUCGAAG